This 253-nucleotide ribosomal RNA is filed under the name uncultured bacterium. RNAcentral's name for it is "partial 16S ribosomal RNA". It matches the Rfam family "Bacterial small subunit ribosomal RNA", at positions 524 to 776 of the family's 1533-position model. The record is from RNAcentral.
UACGAAGGGGGCUAGCGUUGCUCGGAAUCACUGGGCGUAAAGGGUGCGUAGGCGGGUCUUUAAGUCAGGGGUGAAAUCCUGGAGCUCAACUCCAGAACUGCCUUUGAUACUGGCGAUCUUGAGUUCGGGAGAGGUGAGUGGAACUGCGAGUGUAGAGGUGAAAUUCGUAGAUAUUCGCAAGAACACCAGUGGCGAAGGCGGCUCACUGGCCCGAUACUGACGCUGAGGUGCGAAAGCGUGGGGAGCAAACAGG